This 439-nucleotide ribosomal RNA is filed under the name uncultured bacterium. RNAcentral's name for it is "partial 16S ribosomal RNA". It matches the Rfam family "Bacterial small subunit ribosomal RNA", at positions 339 to 795 of the family's 1533-position model. The record is from RNAcentral.
CUACGGGCUGCUGCCGUGAGGAAUAUUGCACAAUGGGGGGAACCCUGAUGCAGCAACGCCGCGUGGAGGAUGACGCAUUUCGGUGUGUAAACUCCUUUUAUAUGUCAAGAAAAUGACGGUAGCAUAUGGAUAAGCACCGGCUAACUCCGUGCCAGCAGCCGCGGUAAUACGGAGGGUGCAAGCGUUACUCGGAAUCACUGGGCGUAAAGGACGCGUAGGCGGGUUGGAAAGUCAGGUGUGAAAUCCUACAGCUUAACUGUAGAACUGCACUUGAAACUUCUAAUCUAGAGUAUGGGAGGGGGAGAUGGAAUUAGUGGUGUAGGGGUAAAAUCCGUAGAGAUCACUAGGAAUACUCAUAGCGAAGGCGACUGGCUGGAACUUUACUGACGCUGAGGCGUGAAAGCAUGGGGAGCAAACAGGAUUAGAUACCCCCGUAGUC